This 239-nucleotide ribosomal RNA is filed under the name uncultured bacterium. RNAcentral's name for it is "partial 16S ribosomal RNA". It matches the Rfam family "Bacterial small subunit ribosomal RNA", at positions 118 to 343 of the family's 1533-position model. The record is from RNAcentral.
UGGGUAACCUGCCUCAAAGAGGGGAAUAGCCUCCCGAAAGGGAGAUUAAUACCGCAUAAUAUGUUUAGGUCGCAUGACUUUAACAUCAAAGGAUUUUCUUUUAGAAAUUCCACUUUGAGAUGGACCCCGCGGCGCAUUAGCUAGUUGGUGAGGUAACGGCUCACCAAGGCAACGNUGCGUAGCCGACCUGAGAGGGUGAUCGGCCACAUUGGAACUGAGACACGGUCCAGCUCCGUAGG